RNAcentral lists this long non-coding RNA (273 nucleotides) under Vigna radiata. RNAcentral describes it as "long non-coding RNA (VRAD_LNC001724)". The record is from RNAcentral. Lineage: Eukaryota; Viridiplantae; Streptophyta; Magnoliopsida; Fabales; Fabaceae.
UAUUGUUUUCAUUUUUGUGAAUAUGAUGUGUAUCUUGUCUCUUACAAUUGUGUUCUAAAUAGAGAGGAAAAGAAAAGAGACAAGAUGAAGAAAAAAAGAGAAAAAAAUGCAGAAAAAUGAGAAAAAAUUAAAAAAAAAAUUAUGAAUAAUUGUGAAUAAUGGAGUCAAGAAGAGGAUGGAACUAGAGGUUGUGGGUGUGUUUGAAUGUGUUUACACUUGUUCCCCAUUGCUCCUCUGUUCCUUAUGGUUUGUAGCUUCUUAUCCAGAUGUANN